This 253-nucleotide ribosomal RNA is filed under the name uncultured bacterium. RNAcentral describes it as "partial 16S ribosomal RNA". It matches the Rfam family "Bacterial small subunit ribosomal RNA", at positions 524 to 776 of the family's 1533-position model. The record is from RNAcentral.
GACGUAGGGCGCGAGCGUUGUCCGGAUUUAUUGGGCGUAAAGAGCUCGUAGGCGGCUUGUCGCGUCGAAUGUGAAAACCCGAGGCUCAACUUCGGGCUUGCAUUCGAUACGGGCAGGCUGGAGUUCGGUAGGGGAGACUGGAAUUCCUGGUGUAGCGGUGAAAUGCGCAGAUAUCAGGAAGAACACCCGUGGCGAAGGCGGUUCUCUGGGACGGUACUGACGCUGAGACGCGAAAGCGUGGGGAGCGAACAGG